GGAGAGGUGCGAGAGUGGUUUAAUCGAGCACACUGCUAAUGUGUUGGGGGAGCAAUCCCCCCGUGGGUUCGAAUCCCACCCUCUCCG
This 87-nucleotide transfer RNA is filed under the name Candidatus Berkelbacteria bacterium. RNAcentral describes it as "tRNA-Ser". It matches the Rfam family "tRNA". Rfam says of the family: Transfer RNA (tRNA) molecules are approximately 80 nucleotides in length. Their secondary structure includes four short double-helical elements and three loops (D, anti-codon, and T loops). Lineage: Bacteria; Candidatus Berkelbacteria. The record is from RNAcentral.